Long non-coding RNA from Panicum virgatum (switchgrass), 550 nucleotides. RefSeq lists it as uncharacterized. The record is from RefSeq and is a predicted model, not a curated record. NCBI's taxonomy places the organism in Eukaryota, Viridiplantae, Streptophyta, Magnoliopsida, Poales, Poaceae. The transcript has 3 exons.
GGCUGCUGCUGCUAAUAUUUGGAUUUGGGCACCGCGCCGCCGCCAAUGCUAGCUGCUGCUGUCUUGCUCCGCCGCCUCCGGACAUCACACUGGUCGUCCCGACUGCCCAAGCAGGUCGAGGUCAUCUGUGCUUGUUUUCAGAGAUGAACGCUGGGUGUUCGUCAGAAUGCCUGCGUGGCCUUUAGCUGGGACUCAGAUAGAGAAGCAUGCAGCAGCUCCCUCCCGGCGGUGGCCUGACUGCCUGCCGUCCCAGACCAUACAUUUUCAUCUACUCCAAAUGGUACACGGGACUGAAGGCUGGACAUGCAUGCAGUUUAAUUUUAAUUUUGCUAAAUUAUUUUGAGAGUUUGCUCACCAGGAGAAAAAAAAAGACUGCUAACUCCGUAUGUAAGUAUAUCGCAGCUGCUCGGUGAGCCACAUGCAUGCAAUGCCUGCAAUAAUGCUUUCAUGUAAUUUGUGGUGCCAAGAGCUUAGCGAGUUUAUUUUUCUGGAACUUUCUAAUUAAUCUAUUUGUGUUUAGAUAAAGGGCUGCCGCCGGUAAUAAUUUACA